AGUCGUAGGACGUCCGCA
RNAcentral lists this unclassified non-coding RNA (18 nucleotides) under Chlamydomonas reinhardtii. RNAcentral's name for it is "small RNA Cre_0627". The record is from RNAcentral. Lineage: Eukaryota; Viridiplantae; Chlorophyta; Chlorophyceae; Chlamydomonadales; Chlamydomonadaceae.